Molecule: long non-coding RNA, 219 nt
Filed under: Lathyrus oleraceus (garden pea)
Lineage: Eukaryota; Viridiplantae; Streptophyta; Magnoliopsida; Fabales; Fabaceae
Description: Pisum sativum (pea) long non-coding RNA (PSAT_LNC031019)
Source: RNAcentral
UUCUCAUACGCAUAACUCAUUCAUUACAUCAUUUCACAGCAUACGCAUGCAUACAACAUUCGCAUUUAUUUUCGAAAGCAUAAAACAUCUCAUGCAUCAUGACAUAGCAUAAAGCUAACUUUUCUUUGCAGGUUAAUUAUCCUCCUGAUAUAGUCAAAGUAAAAGGCUCAUUCAGGCAGACGCCUUUAUCAAUCACAGACAAGAUUCAGAUACAUAUUC